CCGACUCGCUCUUCAGCACCGGACGAGUAAAGACUGACUGCCGGGAGGUCUAACCCGAGAGGCGGCGGGUGUGCUGUGUGCGCACACCGGCAAAGAAGGCUGGAGCGUGGGCAAGGUUUGAAAAUAAGCAGCAAGAGGUCCAGAGGUCAACGUUUCAGAGUGUGAAUUUACUGGCCAUUGAAAAAGGACAUGGACGUUAAAAGCCACAUACUUCGGCAGGUUGACGCCCAGCAGAGCCAAAAAGGGAAUCAAAUUCAAAGCAUCUGAAGAUAGCCAGGGCCAAGGGGCACACUCCAACACUCAGACAUCAUUUACAAAAGGGAUGUUCUCUUGACACAACAUGCUCUUGAAUACAGGGCGGGAGUCAAGCCUAGAAAUGGAAUUACUAGAAUGGACCUAUCCCUUCAGACCACUGCAAUUUAUUUGGAGUGGAUCACAGACCAACACUACCACCACAUUGGGUCUGGACUGCGAGGGACCGCCGCCACUGACAAACCAAUCUGCACCAAUCACAUCCAUCGUCCAUAACAAACAGGGCUGGCAGGGGUAUUCAGGGUGUGCAACUUUUAUUUUCUGUUAAAUAAAUAAAAUACAAUUUAAGCAAAGAUUAUAUCUUUACAGAAAACGUGUUGUGAUUGGAGCUCUGGAUUUGCUAUGCUGCAUUUCUUUUUACAGAAAUAGCAGAGAUGUGCUUCAGAUUAAAUAUGUUUUCUUUUCCGUGCCUUGUAGCCAACUACUGAAUAUGGUGCAAAUGUAUGCUCAGAUAUGUCACCAUGUGAAGAAGCACAAUGAUUUUCGAUGCCUUGAACAGGUCAAAUCAUUUGGGCACUGGACAUAGGUCAUGAGUUAGAUUUAGUACAUUUUCGAUAAGACAUAUGAUGAUGAAUAUUACUUAUCAUGUAAGGAUAUCUAUUGAAAUUGGAGAAAUACGAAUCCAUAAAUGAUCAGUUUCAUAAAGUGCCCUGGGGGGAGGAUCAUAUCCCCCCACUUCUCUCUAUUCCCUCCACAGUUUAUGACAGUCGUAAAAACUCUGCUUCUGCGUCUGUAGUAUUGAGAUUGGAAUGUGUGACUGUGGGACACAGAGAGAGACUUGGUCAAACUCCUAAUCCCCAAAAUGUGAGAAUUAAACAGUAUUUCUACUUUUGAGAAUGUGGGAAUGGUCCGUGGACACUGUCAUGACAAGUGUGUUUCAUUUGCUCACCUCAUGAAGGACAGGAAACACACAUAACUGUAUCUCCUAAAGUGUACAUUUCCCAGCUGUCAGGUUGACAUCUAAAUUAAACAUGAAACCUUUUGCGAAAAGAUGUAAUGUGAUGUUAACCUUCUAAAUGUGAGUAUGGAUUUUCAUAUAAAGAUUAACUAGUCAGUGGCCACACCCCCGUAAACCCAAAC
This is a long non-coding RNA of Oncorhynchus keta (chum salmon), 1392 nucleotides long. RefSeq lists it as uncharacterized. The transcript has 5 exons. The record is from RefSeq and is a predicted model, not a curated record. Lineage: Eukaryota; Metazoa; Chordata; Actinopteri; Salmoniformes; Salmonidae.